This 70-nucleotide transfer RNA is filed under the name Cyrtodactylus grismeri. RNAcentral's name for it is "tRNA-Trp". It matches the Rfam family "tRNA". Rfam says of the family: Transfer RNA (tRNA) molecules are approximately 80 nucleotides in length. Their secondary structure includes four short double-helical elements and three loops (D, anti-codon, and T loops). Lineage: Eukaryota; Metazoa; Chordata; Lepidosauria; Squamata; Gekkonidae. The record is from RNAcentral.
AGAAGCUUAGGUUAAACAAACCAUGGGCCUUCAAAGCCCAAAACACGAGUCCUCAUCCUCAUAGCUCCUG